GCGGCGUGGUUAGACAUGCAAGUCGCGGGGUGAAUAUCUCCUUCGGGAGGAACACGACCGGCGAAAGGGUGAGUAAUGCAUGGGUAACGUACCUUUGACACGGGGAUAGCCGUCCGAAAGGGCGAUUAAUACCCGAUAAAGCUCGGGUUCCGCAUGGAACCCGAUCCAAAGCUGGGGAUCUUCGGACCUGGUGGUCUUAGAGCGGCCCAUGUCCUAUCAGCUAGUUGGUGAGGUAAUGGCUCACCAAGGCAACGACGGGUAGCGGGACUGAGAGGUUGGCCCGCCACAUUGGGACUGAGACACUGCCCAGACUCCUACGGGAGGCUGCAGUAACGAAUCUUCCGCAAUGGGCGAAAGCCUGACGGAGCGACGCCGCGUGCAGGAGGAAGCCCCUCGGGGUGUAAACUGCUGUCAGGGAUAAGCAAGCGACCCCGGUGAAUAGCCGGGGAAGUUGGGCUACCCCACAGGAAGCCUCGGCUAACUUCGUGCCAGCAGCCGCGGUAAUACGAAGGAGGCUAGCGUUGUUCGGAAUCACUGGGCAUAAAGAGCGUGUAGGCGGCUUGGCAGGUGUCCUGUGAAAUCCCACGGCUCAACCGUGGAAUUGCAGGGCAAACCGCCAGGCUUGAGGCAAACAGGGGCUGAUGGAACUCUGGGUGGAGCGGUGAUAUGCGUAGAUAUCCAGGGGAACGCCGAAGGCGAAGGCAGUCAGCUGGGUUUGUCCUGACGCUGAGACGCGAAAGCCAGGGGAGCGAACGGGAUUAGAUACCCCGGUAGUCCUGGCCCUAAACGAUGUCUACUAGGUCUAUGGGUCUCUGACGGCCUGUGGGCCGAAGCUAAUGUGAUAAGUCGACCGCCUGGGGGGUACGGCCGCAAGGCUAAAACUCAAAGGAAUUGACGGGGGCUCACACAAGCGGUGGAGCAUGUGGCUUAGUUCGAUGCAACGCGAAGGACCUUAUCCUGGGUUUGACAUGCACGGAUUAGCGCUGUGAAAGCAGCGUGACGCGGUUUACCGUGGAACGUGCACAGGUGCUGCAUGGCUGUCGUCAGCUCGUGCUGUGAAGUGUUGGGUUAAGUCCCAUAACGAGCGAAACCCUUAUCGUUAGUUGCCAGCGGGUUAUGCCGGGGACUCUAGCGAGACUGCCGGUGUUAAACCGGAGGAAGGCGGGGAUGACGUCAAGUCCGCAUGGCCUUUAAGCCCAGGGCUGCACACGUGCUACAAUGGCGACUGACAAAGCGAAGCAAGACCGCGAGGUGGAGCAAAUCGCACAAACGUCGCCCCAGUUCGGAUUGCAGUCUGCAACUCGACUGCAUGAAGUUGGAAUCGCUAGUAAUCGCAGAUCAGAUAUGCUGCGGUGAAUAUGUUCCUGAGCCUUGUACACACCGCCCGUCAAGUCAUGGAAGCUGGGAGCACCCGAAGUC
Molecule: ribosomal RNA, 1419 nt
Filed under: uncultured organism
Description: 16S ribosomal RNA
Rfam family: Bacterial small subunit ribosomal RNA
Source: RNAcentral